This 905-nucleotide ribosomal RNA is filed under the name uncultured bacterium. RNAcentral describes it as "bacterial SSU rRNA". It matches the Rfam family "Bacterial small subunit ribosomal RNA", at positions 8 to 916 of the family's 1533-position model. The record is from RNAcentral.
AGAGUUUGAUCAUGGCUCAGGAUGAACGCUAGCGGGAGGCUUAACACAUGCAAGUCGAGGGGUAAAUGGCAGCAAUGCUAUGAGACCGGCGGACGGGUGCGUAACGCGUAUGCAACAUACCUUGUGCAGGGGGAUAGCCCGUGGAAACGCGGAUUAAUAUUCCAUAGUCCAGCUAUAUCGCAUGGUAUAGUUGGUAAAGAUUUAUCGGCACAAGUUUGGCAUGCGUCUGAUUAGCUUGUUGGUAGGGUAACGGCCUACCAAGGCUACGAUCAGUAGGGGUUCUGAGAGGAUUAACCCCCACACUGGUACUGAGACACGGACCAGACUCCUACGGGAGGCAGCAGUGAGGAAUAUUGGUCAAUGGGCGGAAGCCUGAACCAGCCAUCCCGCGUGAAGGAAGACAGCCUUACGGGUUGUAAACUUCUUUUCUGUCAGAAGAAUAAGCUUGUCGAGACGAGUGAUGCCGGUAUGACAGGAAUAAGCAUCGGCUAACUCCGUGCCAGCAGCCGCGGUAAUACGGAGGAUGCAAGCGUUAUCCGGAUUUAUUGGGUUUAAAGGGUGCGCAGGUUGUUUGAUAAGUCAGUGGUGAAAGUCUGUCGCUUAACGGUAGGAUUGCCAUUGAUACUGUUGGACUUGAAUAUGGAUGAGGUAGGCGGAAUGUGUAGUGUAGCGGUGAAAUGCAUAGAUAUUACACAGAACACCGAUUGCGAAGGCAGCUUACUAAUCCAUCAUUGACGCUGAGGCACGAAAGCGUGGGGAUCAAACAGGAUUAGAUACCCUGGUAGUCCACGCCGUAAACGAUGAUCACUCGCUGUUUGCGAUAUACAGUAAGCGGCUAAGCGAAAGCGUUAAGUGAUCCACCUGGGGAGUACGAUCGCAAGGUUGAAACUCAAAUGAAUUGACGG